GAAGGUAGCAUAAUUAAUUGCCUUGUAAUUUAAGGCUUGUUUGAAUGGUUUGACGAGAUAAUGUUUAAUAUUUGGUGUUUUGUUGAAAUUGAUUUUGAUGGUUUAGAAUCCUCAAUUAAUUAAUUAGACGGAAAGACCCCGGGAUCUUUUAUUUUGCCUGGGGCGGGUAUUUUUUUUUCAAAAAUAUUAUGACCCUUUAUAGUAUAUUGAGUUAAGUUACCCCGGGGAUAACAGUGUAAUAAUUAAUUAGAGUUCAUAUCGAAUUAGUUGGUUGCCACCUCGAUGUUGACUUAGGUAAAUAUAAUGGGCGCAGUUGUUUGUUAUUUAGGUCUGUUCGACCUGUAUUACCUCCAUGAGUUGAGUUAAGACCGGCGUGAGC
This 379-nucleotide ribosomal RNA is filed under the name Mesocestoides corti. RNAcentral's name for it is "partial large subunit ribosomal RNA". It matches the Rfam family "Bacterial large subunit ribosomal RNA", at positions 1952 to 2626 of the family's 2925-position model. The record is from RNAcentral. Lineage: Eukaryota; Metazoa; Platyhelminthes; Cestoda; Cyclophyllidea; Mesocestoididae.